UACGGGGGGGGCAAGCGUUGUUCGGAAUUACUGGGCGUAAAGGGCUCGUAGGCGGCCAACUAAGUCAGACGUGAAAUCCCUCGGCUUAACCGGGGAACUGCGUCUGAUACUGGAUGGCUUGAGUUUGGGAGAGGGAUGCGGAAUUCCUGGUGUAGCGGUGGAAUGCGCAGAUAUCAGGAGGAACACCGGUGGCGAAGGCGGGUCUCUGGGCCGAUACUGACGCUGAGGAGCGAAAGCGUGGGGAGCGAACAGG
RNAcentral lists this ribosomal RNA (253 nucleotides) under uncultured bacterium. RNAcentral describes it as "partial 16S ribosomal RNA". It matches the Rfam family "Bacterial small subunit ribosomal RNA", at positions 524 to 776 of the family's 1533-position model. The record is from RNAcentral.